RNAcentral lists this long non-coding RNA (328 nucleotides) under Polistes fuscatus (common paper wasp). Its description in RNAcentral is "uncharacterized LOC122524823". Lineage: Eukaryota; Metazoa; Arthropoda; Insecta; Hymenoptera; Vespidae. The record is from RNAcentral.
UUUAUAAGUAUUUACGAUCAUUAUCGACAAAUUUUCGAUUUAGAUAAUACCGAGGGAAGAUACUAAAACAUUUUCAUCUUUGAAUAAAUGAAAUAAUUUGUUACAAGUUUACAGAAUAUAUUGGAGAACCACUGGUAUACGUGGUGCUAUGCGUGGCGUGUGUGUUAUAGGCGCCUCUGCGUUGAACCUUCCCGCCCCUUGACAGUCAUCACCAUCAGUAAUAGCAGCGAGAAAGAGAAAGAGAAAGAGAGGGAGAGAAACAGAGAAUUGCAUUUCGUGGCGUUGUUCGCGAGGGGCCAAGCCGAGCAUGGAACGGUCCGACACAAAA